Molecule: long non-coding RNA, 455 nt
Organism: Hydra vulgaris (swiftwater hydra)
Lineage: Eukaryota; Metazoa; Cnidaria; Hydrozoa; Anthoathecata; Hydridae
Source: RefSeq, a predicted model, not a curated record
ACAAACGCGUUGAUUUCAGUACAACAUUACUUAAACGCUUUGAAAAUGUCUUAUGAUUAUCAAGAAAAGUUAUCUAAAAAGGCUGCUGAACGUUACCAAAAUAAGUUAGAUUUAAUAGGGUUGUUCUGAGGUCACAAAAACAAUCUUACAAAGUUUUAGAGAGUACCUUCGGGAAUGAAGUUAAAAAGUUGUUAAUGUUAAGCAUUUUCUAGAAGCCAAGACGGAAUAUCGUUAAUCCUCAUACCGUUUACUAAAAAAUUUUAUACAUAUUGUUACAAUGUUAUAAUUCAUAUUUUUGUAAUUAGUAAUUUUGAUCAUUUCAUUAUUGUACUGUGAAAAAAUUUUUCAUUUAUAAAUUUUAUUCCACAUAUAUUAAAAACAUGCGGAAUAGAUUUCACACUGAGGAAAAUUUUAAACAAAAAUAUAGAAUUUUUAAAUGUUAUUAGAAUAUUAAU